GCACCCGUAGCUCAGCUGGAUAGAGCGCUGCCCUCCGAAGGCAGAGGUAAGUCAAGUGGCUUUGUUGUGGGUGUA
RNAcentral lists this transfer RNA (75 nucleotides) under Sphingopyxis macrogoltabida. Lineage: Bacteria; Pseudomonadati; Pseudomonadota; Alphaproteobacteria; Sphingomonadales; Sphingopyxidaceae. The record is from Rfam by way of RNAcentral.